Molecule: long non-coding RNA, 1888 nt
Filed under: Macaca fascicularis (crab-eating macaque)
Lineage: Eukaryota; Metazoa; Chordata; Mammalia; Primates; Cercopithecidae
Description: lncRNA (ENSMFAG00000060159.1)
Source: RNAcentral
GUACAAUAAAUCAACAAAAGAGCGCUUCAAUAAAGCUAUUGGGCAGCAGCAAGGCCACUGUUAUUUUAUCUUUUUACAGUAUUUAAUUGGAAGGUUUUUCCUGAAACUUUAGCCAGCCUUCAAAUUACUAGAUUCCAUAUAAGAAGAGAUUGAUAAGAGAAAUUUUUUUCUUCCAGGAUUUUUUCCUUACAAGAGAGCAAGUUUUUGCAGAGGGAGAAUAAAGUUACAAGUGUCUAGCGUUUUGCUGAGGGAGAAUGAAAUUAGAUGCUGAAUGGAGCGGGUAGGAAAGGCUGGGAAAAUGCGAACUUGGCAGCGCCGCCAGGUCACUGCAGAGCCCCACUGUCCUCCGGCACCAGGUGUCCGCUGCAUUCAAACGAUACUAUUAUUCAUAGACGGAGCAGAGCAUUAAAACUCCCCCCAAAAAUCAUUUGCAACUGAAUAAAGAUAUAAUCCUGGAAAUAUAACUCUCCAUUAAGAGUCCCCAUUAGCAACACAAGAGCCUCAUUGUUAAGGAGUUAUGUAUAUUUAUCAAGUUAAAAAAAAACUUGUCUUAGUGCUUACAUGUUAAUAGAAAACUUUUAUAGCCCUGGUCUCAGAACUAGUUAUGCAUAAAAUGUAAAGCAUCUAUUAUGCUUUGGCAAACUCUUGAACGUUUGACAGUGAAUUGCUAAUACACGAACAGUCUCCGGCGAUGGACGGAUAACGUCUUCCUGGCUGGCGCGGGGCUGCUGCGGAGCGAGCGGGCCGCGAUGUGAGGCCUCCUAGCCUCCCGUUUAGUCCUGAGUCCUGUGAGGGACCCGGGGAUCUUCUCCAAGGGCCUCGCCACCUUCUUCCUGUCUGUUUCUGAAGCUGCUUCAGGGCAGGAGGUCCGUCCCUUCAGAAUCUACCUGGCAGGACACGGCUUUCCGCCCUCCUCUUCCUUUCAGUCUUAGUGCAGGGGGUUAGGUCGGGUCUUCCUGUGAAUGGGUGAAUUUGUGGUCGGGCGGGCAGCCCCGCCACAGAACCCCAGUGAGCCCUGGAAGGGACCAUGACCGCCAGGCAGAGCCCAGGGGCGGCCUCGCUCCCUCUCCCUUCCCCUCCGGAAGCCCCUAGGCUGCAUCGAGCUGACCCCAGCACAGGAAGGAAUGCAAGGGGUGACGCCUCCCCUCCCCAGAAGCAGGGGGAGCUGCAGACAAGGAGUGGUUUCCACAGCUCCUCCAGGACGGCCCCUUCUCUCACAGGCUCUCUGCACUUUUGGCACUAGAAUGUCAUAAGUAGCAAAGCCCUGUCAGGAUGUAAACGGUCCUGCUAUAGUCUGGGGCCCGCAUGGCGGCCGUGCUCAGGGCAGGCGUCUGGUGUUAAGUCUGGGGCUUGUGCUCUCUGUGGUGGGUUUCACCCCCUCACUGGAGCUUGUUGCCCCCACAGGCAGUGUGCCGGGCAUGGGCUGUCUCACCAGGAUCAUGCCUGUGUCCUUUUAAGGAAAAGAGCUGGGACAGAGAGGUGGACAGGAGGAGUCCUCCCAGGCCCAGGGAUCCCUGCCAGGAGGAGAGCAGCCUGUGUGGGGCCCGUCCCGGUCCAACACCCGCUUCCCAGCGCCUCUGCCAGGGCUCCCCUGACUCUGCUCUGCUCCUGCUUCCACAUCCCUCCACCCUGGGCUUUGCUUGUCCCCUGAGAUUCCUGUGAUCGAGUCCCACACCCGGUGUCCGAGAAUGUGACCUGUGAAUGUUGACAGAGCCACAGUGCGGUCACAAAUGUUAAGAAAACUGCUGAACAGAGCGGGGAAGGCCAUGAGGAGACGGUCCUCGUGCUUGUAUGCCUCGUCAUGAAAAACACUACAAAACCCGCAGCCUGGCACAAGCAGCACUCUGCAAGGAUGUCGGCCCAGCACGGCCUGGCCAGCCUCAGAUCA